Molecule: ribosomal RNA, 491 nt
Filed under: uncultured bacterium
Lineage: Bacteria
Description: partial 16S ribosomal RNA
Rfam family: Bacterial small subunit ribosomal RNA
Source: RNAcentral
AGUGAACGCUGGCGGUAGGCCUAACACAUGCAAGUCGAACGGCAGCACAGUAAGAGCUUGCUCUUACGGGUGGCGAGUGGCGGACGGGUGAGGAAUACAUCGGAAUCUACUUUUUCGUGGGGGAUAACGUAGGGAAACUUACGCUAAUACCGCAUACGACCUACGGGUGAAAGCAGGGGAUCUUCGGACCUUGCGCGAUUGAAUGAGCCGAUGUCGGAUUAGCUAGUUGGCGGGGUAAAGGCCCACCAAGGCGACGAUCCGUAGCUGGUCUGAGAGGAUGAUCAGCCACACUGGAACUGAGACACGGUCCAGACUCCUACGGGAGGCAGCAGUGGGGAAUAUUGGAAAAUGGGCGCAAGCCUGAGCCAGCCAUACCGCGUGGGUGAAGAAGGCCUUCGGGUUGUAAAGCCCUUUUGUUGGGAAAGAAAAGCAGCAGGUUAAUACCCCGCUGUUCUGACGGUACCCAAAGAAUAAGCACCGGCUAACUUCGU